AAAGGACCAAAAAAGCAUGGCCCAUGUUUUCGACAAGCCAUCUCUACUAACUCAUGUUUUAAACUUAACCCGUAUUUAGUCCCUCUCUCUGUUCAAGAAAAGAACA
This 106-nucleotide ribosomal RNA is filed under the name Eupsophus roseus (rosy ground frog). RNAcentral's name for it is "partial 16S ribosomal RNA". Lineage: Eukaryota; Metazoa; Chordata; Amphibia; Anura; Alsodidae. The record is from RNAcentral.